CUACUAAUCUAUCACUAGCAAGUGAAAUAUAACAAUUUACUAGCCAAUGGCUAAAGACAGACAAUAUUUAGUUGCCUGAUGUGAAAUGUGGUUGCAUAUGCAAGUGAUUUACUCGCAUUGUGCAGGUUUGAAAACGUUAAUAACAAUAAUAAUGCAUUGAAGUAAAUCUUAAAUGAGACAACCAAACCAGCCCACAUCAAACUAUAAAGCACAAUUUAUAUUUGCACUACACUGGCUACUAUUUGAGGGGUUUCUCUGUCCUGGACGUACCCCUCUGUGGCUCUAUACGGGCUGAGCUCCAAGAAGGAUUGUGUGAAGCUAAUAAAGUCCAAGUCCAGGUCCUCCCUCUGCAUCCGUCCCAGAGAAAGCCUAAUCCCGUUAGCUGUGCUUUCUCAUGGAUAAUCCCUCCACUUCCCACCUGGCCGUCCUUCAGCCUCAGCCUCUCUCUGGGAUGACCGUCUUCUGCUGAACACUGCAGCAUGUUUAGCUGGGUGAUAAAGGUUGUUCCCCAGCCUCCAGCAUCUCCUGGGAAGCUGGCAGAGGAGGACCAGACCAAUGCUUCCACUGCAGCACCAGAUGUGACGAAAAAAGAGGAAGUAAAACAAGGUAACUAUGCACUCUAUCAAAUUUGACAGCAGUUUUGAUCAAUGACCAACACUGAAUCACAGAAAAAAAUACAGACCUGAGAGCACUGUUCAUUUAUUUUUCAUAAUGUUAUUUUACAGAAACUUCCAAGUCAACGGAGGAGGUCUCAGACGAGAACAGGUGAUGUUAUGUUUGUGUGUGUGUGUGUGUGUGUGUGUGUGUGUGUGUGUGUG
RNAcentral lists this long non-coding RNA (818 nucleotides) under Sinocyclocheilus grahami. RNAcentral describes it as "lncRNA (ENSSGRG00000045746.1)". The record is from RNAcentral. Lineage: Eukaryota; Metazoa; Chordata; Actinopteri; Cypriniformes; Cyprinidae.